Molecule: long non-coding RNA, 694 nt
Organism: Cervus elaphus (red deer)
Lineage: Eukaryota; Metazoa; Chordata; Mammalia; Artiodactyla; Cervidae
Exons: 4
Source: RefSeq, a predicted model, not a curated record
AGAGCAGACAUUAAUCAAGAAAACAAUGGAAGAAUUGUAAGACGGGUAUGGGCACCAAGGAAGGAAUAACCAAGAAGUGAAAGACACGUGUAAACAUGAGUGAUGAGUUGGUUAACCAUUAGUGAAGUUGGGCUAUGUACCUGGCACGUGAAGCCCUGGCCUGUGGCGUGGCCUUCCUAGUUCUGGCUUUAGUGAAGACCUCAAACAUUAAUGUUGGAAGGAUCAUUCAGAACCAUCAGCGUUUCUUAAGGCGGCUCUGUGGCGUUUGAAGCAAGACUUUUCCUCGUUUGCAGGACUGCCUCAGAAUUCCAUGAAAGUUUUUACCUAAUACCUUCCCAACUGAAGAAGACAGAAGCAGCAGCAGCAUGGAACUCACCUAGUCUCACCAGCUCCAAGUUGGCCUGAUAAUCAACAGAUCCCGGAGGACGCCAGCUCCUAAGUAAGCCCAGUCCUGUUUCCUGCCGCCUGCCCUGCUCUCUGGACCAUGGGGACGCCUGCACGCCUGCAGCUCACACCUGCACAGUCCGGAGCUCAGGUAUCCACAGGCCGAAAAGGAUUCUCUUGCUAAAGCAUCUCAGAGAAGGAAGGUAGCCAGGACUCAACAGCGGUGCUUUAAGACACACCUCCGGAUGGCAGGACCCUCCUGUGCACCAAGCCCCAGGACAGGCCUCUGCGUGACCUACCUCAGUCGGCA